RNAcentral lists this ribosomal RNA (460 nucleotides) under uncultured bacterium. RNAcentral's name for it is "partial 16S ribosomal RNA". It matches the Rfam family "Bacterial small subunit ribosomal RNA", at positions 338 to 795 of the family's 1533-position model. The record is from RNAcentral.
CCUACUGGUGACAUCAUUGAGGAAUCUUGGUCAAUGGACGAGAGUCUGAACCAUCAAAUGAGCUUUCCGUCUUCCUUCCCUCUUUUUUUUCCCCUUCUUUUCUCCCUUCCUAAAACGAGGCACGUGUGCCUUUUUGCAUGUACUUUAUGAAUAAGGAUCGGCUAACUCCGUGCCAGCAGCCGCGGUAAUACGGAGGAUCCGAGCGUUAUCCGGAUUUAUUGGGUUUAAAGGGAGCGUAGAUGGGUUGUUAAGUCAGUUGUGAAAGUUUGCGGCUCAACCGUAAAAUUGCAGUUGAUACUGGCAGUCUUGAGUACAGUUGAGGUAGGCGGAAUUCGUGGUGUAGCGGUGAAAUGCUUAGAUAUCACGAAGAACCCCGAUUGCGAAGGCAGCUUACUAAACUGUGACUGACAUUGAUGCUCGAAAGUGUGGGUAUCAAACAGGAUUAGAUACCCCAGUAGUC